AUUGAACGCUGGCGGCAGGCCUAACACAUGCAAGUCGAACGAGUGGCGGACGGGUUAGUACUGUCUGGGAAACUGCCUUAUGGAGGGGGCUAACUACUGGAAACGGUAGCUAAUACCGCAUACCAUCAGAUGUGCCCAGAUGGGAUUAGCUUGUUGGUGGGUUAACGGCUCACCACGGCGACGAUCCCUAGCUGGUCUGAGAGGAUGACCAGCCACACUGGAACGGAGACACGGUCCAGACUCCGACGGGAGGAAGCAGUGGGGAAUAUUGAACAAUGGGCGAAAGCCUGAUGCAGCCAUGCCGCGUGUAUGAAGAAGGCCUUCGGGUUGUAAAGUACUUUCAGUGGGGAGGCGUUACCCGCAGAAGAAGCACCGGCUAACGCCGUGCCAGCAGCCGCGGUAAUAC
RNAcentral lists this ribosomal RNA (406 nucleotides) under uncultured bacterium. RNAcentral describes it as "partial 16S ribosomal RNA". It matches the Rfam family "Bacterial small subunit ribosomal RNA", at positions 30 to 526 of the family's 1533-position model. The record is from RNAcentral.